This 253-nucleotide ribosomal RNA is filed under the name uncultured bacterium. Its description in RNAcentral is "partial 16S ribosomal RNA". It matches the Rfam family "Bacterial small subunit ribosomal RNA", at positions 524 to 776 of the family's 1533-position model. The record is from RNAcentral.
UACGGAGGGUGCAAACGUUGUCCGGAAUCACUGGGCGUAAAGCGCAUGUAGGUGGUUUAGUAAGUGAAAGGUUAAAGACCGAUGCUUAACAUCGGACCGGUGUUUCAUACUGCUAGACUGGAGUAUGGCAGGGGUAAGCGGAACUUUAGGUGUAGGAGUGAAAUCCGUAGAUAUCUAAAGGAACACCAAUGGCGAAGGCAGCUUACUGGGCCAUUACUGACACUGAGAUGCGAAAGUGUGGGGAGCAAACGGG